UACGGGGGGGGCAAGCGUUGUUCGGAAUUACUGGGCGUAAAGGGCUCGUAGGCGGCCAACUAAGUCAGACGUGAAAUCCCCAGGCUCAACCUGGGAACUGCGUCUGAUACUGGUUGGCUUGAAUCCGGGAGAGGGAUGCAGAAUUCCAGGUGUAGCGGUGAAAUGCGUAGAUAUCUGGAGGAAUACCGGUGGCGAAGGCGGCAUCCUGGACCAACACUGACACUGAAAAGCGAAAGCCAGGGGAGCAAACGGG
Molecule: ribosomal RNA, 253 nt
Filed under: uncultured bacterium
Lineage: Bacteria
Description: partial 16S ribosomal RNA
Rfam family: Bacterial small subunit ribosomal RNA
Source: RNAcentral